This 468-nucleotide ribosomal RNA is filed under the name uncultured bacterium. Its description in RNAcentral is "partial 16S ribosomal RNA". It matches the Rfam family "Bacterial small subunit ribosomal RNA", at positions 28 to 507 of the family's 1533-position model. The record is from RNAcentral.
GACGAACGCUGGCGGCGUGCUUAACACAUGCAAGUCGAACGGUGAAGCUCCAGCUUGCUGGAGUGGAUCAGUGGCGAACGGGUGAGUAACACGUGAGCAACCUGCCCCUGACUCUGGAAUAAGCGCUGGAAACGGCGUCUAAUACUGGAUACGAGAAGGGUCCGCAUGGGCACUUUCUGGAAAGUUUUUUGGUUGGGGAUGGGCUCGCGGCCUAUCAGCUUGUUGGUGAGGUAAUGGCUCACCAAGGCGACGACGGGUAGCCGGCCUGAGAGGGCGACCGGCCACACUGGGACUGAGACACGGCCCAGACUCCUACGGGAGGCAGCAGUGGGGAAUAUUGCACAAUGGGCGAAAGCCUGAUGCAGCGACGCCGCGUGAGGGAUGACGGCCUUCGGGUUGUAAACCUCUUUCAGCAGGGAAGAAGCGAAAGUGACGGUACCUGCAGAAGAAGCACCGGCUAACUACGUG